CUCGGACAUAACCGGGAAGAUUGGUGUCCCGAAGGACAAGUUCCAGCUGCCCAAGGGCUGGCACUGGGAUGGCGACUGGGCGGUGGAGCCACAGAGGAGGCUGCUGCUGGAUACUGAGACCAACCACAGUGAGGUGCUGGAGGAGGUGUACGAGAACGAGAGCCGGCAGCCAGGGGAAGAGUGGGCCCCAGCCCCUUCUCCCAACCCCGAUGCGGGCGGAGCCGCCGUCUCCCCAAAGGAAGGGAUCGUGUGCCCUAAGGGCUGGCACUUCGAGGAAGGCUG
Molecule: long non-coding RNA, 282 nt
Filed under: Terrapene triunguis (Three-toed box turtle)
Lineage: Eukaryota; Metazoa; Chordata; Testudines; Emydidae
Description: Terrapene carolina triunguis (Three-toed box turtle) lncRNA (ENSTMTG00000004028.1)
Source: RNAcentral